This is a long non-coding RNA of Hippocampus zosterae (dwarf seahorse), 573 nucleotides long. RefSeq lists it as uncharacterized. The transcript is spliced from 2 exons. The record is from RefSeq and is a predicted model, not a curated record. Lineage: Eukaryota; Metazoa; Chordata; Actinopteri; Syngnathiformes; Syngnathidae.
UGUCCAUCGUGUCCAAGAUGAUCUCGCCACACAUAUUAGCAAUGUUAUGUUGUGUGAAAAAAAAUCAAAAAAAAAUCUGAGUAUCAUAUUCAGUACGCUGUACGCAUAUACAGUUGGCUGCCUGAACGGGCCGCCAUGGCUAAAUGUAACGCUUGAGCGGAAUAGGAGCUCGACGUGGAUCACGAGGAGAAACCGGGACAAUGUUUUUCCCAUUGUGAUGCAAAAGAAGAAAAGCCCGGUGCAGGAUAAACCUCUGGGAUCCAAGCCGGCUUUAGCCAGUGAUAGCUGGUCUCGGAGCACCGGAAGUCUCACAGUGCAGGAUGACGGACAUCCCGUCAAUCACGGUGCUGUCGGAGGGUCCGGCUGUGAUGUUGGGAGCGAUACCUGUGAUGGGCGCGCGCACACACACACACACACACACACACGAGGAAUAAGUAAAAUAUUGCAAAAAGAGAAUGUAAGUAAGAGGCAAGGGAGUAAUCCCACUCGGUGUACUGUAAGCCAAGCCUCUUGAAUUUUUGUCGUUCGUGAUUCCUAUGACACGUCCUUCACCUUCAUGCCGUGCCAAACAAA